GGGGAGGGGAAACUUUUCACAAUUGUCAAAGUGGAAGGUAUUCAUAGAAAAGAUAUAAAUAAUUUCUUAAAGUUAAGUGUUGGUUAAGCUUAAAGAUAAAGUUGUUGCAUAGUGGUAGGGUUUUCUUUAAUAUUUUCACAAGGAGUCUAAGGGUUUUCAUAUUGAAAAAAGAAAGAAAAGAGAAAAAAACACACCUACCACCACAUGCAAAUAUAAAAAAUAAAAAGACAACCCCAACCAAUUGCACCACAACCGGAUGGAGGAACCCAGCUGACACACCAAGACGAGUCUCUGUGUCUAGGGAAUCUUGGGGUUCAGCUCCUUUUACUUCAAGAGAGCCUGAACUAAAUUAGUGCAAUUUUUAAAGCAUGGCCUGAAUGAUUCAGUGAUUAUCAAGUCAAGCUACAAAUGUAAACGGCUGCUACCACUGCCAACUAGGUCAAGGAGACUCUCCAAGGUGCCUAACUGGCGGCUGUCACCACCUGACUUGGUUUUGUUUGGCUACUUUGCUCUCCUGUGCAGUGUUACGAGCCUGCCUAAUGAG
Non-coding RNA from Kogia breviceps (pygmy sperm whale), 544 nucleotides. The record is from RefSeq and is a predicted model, not a curated record. NCBI's taxonomy places the organism in Eukaryota, Metazoa, Chordata, Mammalia, Artiodactyla, Physeteridae.